GACGUAGGGGGCGAGCGUUGUCCGGAUUUACUGGGCGUAAAGCGCCCGCAGGCGGUUUCUUAAGUCAGAUGUGAAAGCCCCGGGCUUAACCUCGAGCUGUCGGCGGAAACCAUCUGGCUAGAGUCCGGAAGAGGAGAAUGGAAUUCCCGGUGUAGCGGUGAAAUGCGCAGAUAUCGGGAAGAACACCCGUGGCGAAGGCGGUUCUCUGGGACGGUACUGACGCUGAGACGCGAAAGCGUGGGGAGCAAACAGG
Molecule: ribosomal RNA, 253 nt
Filed under: uncultured bacterium
Lineage: Bacteria
Description: partial 16S ribosomal RNA
Rfam family: Bacterial small subunit ribosomal RNA
Source: RNAcentral